Molecule: ribosomal RNA, 399 nt
Filed under: uncultured bacterium
Lineage: Bacteria
Description: bacterial SSU rRNA
Rfam family: Bacterial small subunit ribosomal RNA
Source: RNAcentral
UAUUGGACAAUGGGGGGAACCCUGAUCCAGCGACGCCGCGUGAGUGAAGAAGUAUCUCGGUAUGUAAAGCUCUAUCAGCAGGGAAGAAGAAAUGACGGUACCUGACUAAGAAGCCCCGGCUAACUACGUGCCAGCAGCCGCGGUAAUACGUAGGGGGCAAGCGUUAUCCGGAUUUACUGGGUGUAAAGGGAGCGUAGACGGCCAGACAAGUCAGAAGUGAAAGCCCAGGGCUCAACUCUGGGUCUGCUUUUGAAACUACCGGGCUGGAGUGCCGGAGAGGUAGGCGGAAUUCCUAGUGUAGCGGUGAAAUGCGUAGAUAUUAGGAGGAACACCAGUGGCGAAGGCGGCCUACUGGACGGUGACUGACGCUGAGGCUCGAAAGCGUGGGGAGCAAACAGG